Molecule: ribosomal RNA, 564 nt
Filed under: uncultured bacterium
Lineage: Bacteria
Description: bacterial SSU rRNA
Rfam family: Bacterial small subunit ribosomal RNA
Source: RNAcentral
GAGUUUGAUCAUGGCUCAGAACGAACGCUGGCGGCGCGCCUAACACAUGCAAGUCGAACGAGAGGCUCUUCGGAGUAGUAAAGUGGCGUACGGGUGAGUAAGACAUGGGUAAUCUGCCUUUGAGCGGGGGAUAACCAGCCGAAAGGCUGGCUAAUACCCCAUACGCUUCCGGUCCUUCGGGUAAGGAAGGAAAGCUGCAUCGUGGAUGUGGCACUCGAAGAUGGGCUCAUGGCCUAUCAGCUUGUUGGUGGGGUAAUGGCCUACCAAGGCAACGACGGGUAGCUGGUCUGAGAGGACGAUCAGCCACACUGGCACUGAGAUACGGGCCAGACUCCUACGGGAGGCAGCAGUGAGGAAUAUUGCGCAAUGGGCGAAAGCCUGACGCAGCGACGCCGCGUGGGGGAAGAAGGUUUUCGGAUUGUAAACCCCUUUUAGGAGGAAAGAUGGGGUGGUUCGCCACCCGGACGGUACCUCCAGAAAAAGCCACGGCUAACUUCGUGCCAGCAGCCGCGGUAAUACGAAGGUGGCGAGCGUUGUUCGGAUUUACUGGGCGUAAAGAGCACG